Molecule: ribosomal RNA, 424 nt
Filed under: Prevotella sp.
Lineage: Bacteria; Pseudomonadati; Bacteroidota; Bacteroidia; Bacteroidales; Prevotellaceae
Description: bacterial SSU rRNA
Rfam family: Bacterial small subunit ribosomal RNA
Source: RNAcentral
UGAGGAAUAUUGGUCAAUGGGCGAGAGCCUGAACCAGCCAAGUAGCGUGCAGGAUGACGGCCCUAUGGGUUGUAAACUGCUUUUAUAAGGGAAUAAAGUUAGUCUCGUGAGACUUUUUGCAUGUACCUUAUGAAUAAGGACCGGCUAAUUCCGUGCCAGCAGCCGCGGUAAUACGGAAGGUCCGGGCGUUAUCCGGAUUUAUUGGGUUUAAAGGGUGCGCAGGCGGGCCUGUAAGCCCGUGGUGAAAGCCUGGUGCUCAACGCCAGAGGUGCCGCGGGAACUGCAGGUCUUGAGUCGUGACGAGGGCGGCGGAAUGCGAAGUGUAGCGGUGAAAUGCUUAGAUAUCACGAAGAACUCCGAUUGCGAAGGCAGCUUACCGUAGCGUUACUGACGCUGAAGCUCGAAAGUGCGGGUAUCGAACAGG